GCCCGGAUGGCUCAGUCGGUAGAGCAUCAGAUUUUUUAUCUGAGGGUCCAGGGUUCAAGUCCCUGUUCGGGCG
This is a transfer RNA of Astyanax mexicanus (Mexican tetra), 73 nucleotides long. It matches the Rfam family "tRNA". Rfam says of the family: Transfer RNA (tRNA) molecules are approximately 80 nucleotides in length. Their secondary structure includes four short double-helical elements and three loops (D, anti-codon, and T loops). NCBI's taxonomy places the organism in Eukaryota, Metazoa, Chordata, Actinopteri, Characiformes, Acestrorhamphidae. The record is from Rfam.